Molecule: ribosomal RNA, 450 nt
Filed under: uncultured bacterium
Lineage: Bacteria
Description: bacterial SSU rRNA
Rfam family: Bacterial small subunit ribosomal RNA
Source: RNAcentral
GUGGGGAAUAUUGGACAAUGGGCGAAAGCCUGAUCCAGCCAUGCCGCGUGUGUGAAGAAGGUCUUCGGAUUGUAAAGCACUUUAAGUUGGGAGGAAGGGCAGUAAGUUAAUACCUUGCUGUUUUGACGUUACCGACAGAAUAAGCACCGGCUAACUUCGUGCCAGCAGCCGCGGUAAUACGAAGGGUGCAAGCGUUAAUCGGAAUUACUGGGCGUAAAGCGCGCGUAGGUGGUUUGUUAAGUUGGAGGUGAAAUCCCCGGGCUCAACCUGGGAACUGCCUCCAAAACUGCAUGACUAGAGUACGGUAGAGGGUAGUGGAAUUUCCUGGGUAGCGGUGAAAUGCGUAGAUAUAGGAAGGAACACCAGUGGCGAAGGCGACUACCUGGACUGAUACUGACACUGAGGUGCGAAAGCGUGGGGAGCAAACAGGAUUAGAUACCCCGGUAGUCC